GACGAACGCUGGCGGCGUGCCUAAUACAUGCAAGUCGAGCGAAGUUUUUCUGGUGCUUGCACUAGAAAAACUNAGCGGCGAACGGGUGAGUAACACGUAAAGAACCUGCCUCAUAGACUGGGACAACUAUUGGAAACGAUAGCUAAUACCGGAUAACAGUAUUUCUCGCAUGAGAGAUAUUUAAAAGUUGGUUAUGCUAACACUAUGAGAUGGCUUUGCGGUGCAUUAGCUAGUUGGUGGGGUAAAGGCCCACCAAGGCGACGAUGCAUAGCCGACCUGAGAGGGUGAUCGGCCACACUGGGACUGAGACACGGCCCAGACUCCUACGGGAGGCAGCAGUAGGGAAUCUUCCGCAAUGGGCGAAAGCCUGACGGAGCAACGCCGCGUGAGUGAAGAAGGAUUUCGGUCCGUAAAGCUCUGUUGUUAGGGAAGAANGGAUAUGUAGUAACUAUACAUAUAAGAGACG
RNAcentral lists this ribosomal RNA (466 nucleotides) under uncultured bacterium. Its description in RNAcentral is "bacterial SSU rRNA". It matches the Rfam family "Bacterial small subunit ribosomal RNA", at positions 28 to 474 of the family's 1533-position model. The record is from RNAcentral.